This 379-nucleotide ribosomal RNA is filed under the name uncultured bacterium. Its description in RNAcentral is "bacterial SSU rRNA". It matches the Rfam family "Bacterial small subunit ribosomal RNA", at positions 521 to 896 of the family's 1533-position model. The record is from RNAcentral.
UAACACGUAGGGGGCAAGCGUUGUCCGGAUUUAUUGGGCGUAAAGAGCUCGUAGGUGGCUCGGUUAGUCGGGUGUGAAAUUCCGAGGCUCAACCUCGGAACGCCACUCGAUACUGCCAUGGCUAGAGUCCGGUAGAGGAGCGUGGAAUUCCUGGUGUAGCGGUGAAAUGCGCAGAUAUCAGGAGGAACACCAGCGGCGAAGGCGGCGCUCUGGGCCGGUACUGACACUGAGGAGCGAAAGCGUGGGGAGCAAACAGGAUUAGAUACCCUGGUAGUCCACGCCGUAAACGAUGGGCACUAGGUGUGGGGAGCUGUCAACGCUUUCCGUGCCGUAGCUAACGCAUUAAGUGCCCCGCCUGGGGAGUACGGCCGCAAGGCUA